RNAcentral lists this ribosomal RNA (482 nucleotides) under uncultured bacterium. RNAcentral describes it as "partial 16S ribosomal RNA". It matches the Rfam family "Bacterial small subunit ribosomal RNA", at positions 28 to 523 of the family's 1533-position model. The record is from RNAcentral.
AGUGAACGUUGGCGGCGUGGAUUAGGCAUGCAAGUCGAGCGAGAACCGUAGCAAUACGGGGACAGCGGCGAAAGGGACAGUAAUGUGUAGGUACCUACCUCCGGGUUCGGGAUAGCUACGGGAAACUGCAGGUAAUACCGAAUAACGUCUCCGGACCAAAGGUGUGAUUCCACCUGGAGAGGGGCCUGCAUCCUAUUAGCUUGUUGGCGGGGUAACGGCCCACCAAGGCGACGAUGGGUAGCGGGUGUGAGUGCACGACCCGCGUCAUUGGGACUGAGACACUGCCCAGACACCUACGGGUGGCUGCAGUCGUGAAUCUUCGGCAAUGGGCGCAAGCCUGACCGAGCGACGCCGCGUGCGGGAUGAAGGCCUUCGGGUUGUAAACCGCUGUCGUAGAGGAGGAAAUGCAGGGGGGUUCUCCCCUCUGUUUGACCUAUUCUAGGAGGAAGUACGGGCUAAGUUCGUGCCAGCAGCCGCAGUAA